AUUGAACGCUGGCGGCAGGCCUAACACAUGCAAGUCGAACGGUAACAGGAAUCAGCUUGCUGAUUUGCUGACGAGUGGCGGACGGGUGAGUAAUGUCUGGGAAACUGCCUGAUGGAGGGGGAUAACUACUGGAAACGGUAGCUAAUACCGCAUAAUGUCGCAAGACCAAAGAGGGGGACCUUCGGGCCUCUUGCCAUCGGAUGUGCCCAGAUGGGAUUAGCUAGUAGGUGGGGUAACGGCUCACCUAGGCGACGAUCCCUAGCUGGUCUGAGAGGAUGACCAGCCACACUGGAAUUGAGACACGGUCCAGACUCCUACGGGAGGCAGCAGUGGGGAAUAUUGCACAAUGGGCGCAAGCCUGAUGCAGCCAUGCCGCGUGUAUGAAGAAGGCCUUCGGGUUGUAAAGUACUUUCAGCGGGGAGGAAGGGAGUAAAGUUAAUACCUUUACUCAUUGACGUUACCCGCAGAAGAAGCACCGGCUAACUCCGUGCCAGCAGCCGCGGUAAUACGGAGGGUGCAAGCGUUAAUCGGAAUUACUGGGCGUAAAGCGCACGCAGGCGGUUUGUUAAGUCAGAUGUGAAAUCCCCGGGCUCAACCUGGGAACUGCAUCUGAUACUGGCAAGCUUGAGUCUCGUAGAGGGGGGUAGAAUUCCAGGUGUAGCGGUGAAAUGCGUAGAGAUCUGGAGGAAUACCGGUGGCGAAG
RNAcentral lists this ribosomal RNA (703 nucleotides) under uncultured Pseudomonadota bacterium. RNAcentral's name for it is "bacterial SSU rRNA". It matches the Rfam family "Bacterial small subunit ribosomal RNA", at positions 28 to 720 of the family's 1533-position model. Lineage: Bacteria; Pseudomonadati; Pseudomonadota. The record is from RNAcentral.